UUUGUUUUGUCCGUUUCAUUCCAAAUGAAGAGAAGAGUUUAUGUACAGCUUCUACAGGAUUCUACGGAUUUGAUACUCAUUUUCUCUCUGCUAGUUUCUCAUCUCUGUUUGUCAAGGAGAUUUCGUGUGUCUUGAUUCUGUGAUUCUUCGAUUCAUCAGGUAAUUUUCUUUUCAAACUAAAUCAAAAUCCACUUCUUCCUUCGUCAUGGGACGCAAAGCCCAAGCUUCGACCUCCUCCAAUCGAAAUCUGUGGGUAUGCGCAGCGUAGUACGCAUUUAUGGUUGGGGUAAAUCUUGGCUCUUUUGUCUUUUAAGGUGGGGAAUUGUUGCAGAUAUGUACAUUGGUGAGAAUUCUGAUGGUGAAUUAGGAAGCACAUAUAUGUUCCAAGGACUACAGUCUACAGCUCCGUUCAAAAUUCACUGUCUCCCCCUACAGCGAUGUCGUCGUGUUAUGCUUUCGAAGCUCUUAUUUAAUUAAUAUGUGUAUAGCUAAUUGAGGAAUCAAGAAAUAUAGUUUCGGAGUCUCGGAUCGUGAAUUAAAUGUUCGGAUUGAUGUUGAGGCUUUGCUUAAUUGUUUGUUUUCAGAUCAUGCUUUCUAUGAUAUUGGGGAUGUCUCAGCACCAGAAAGGCAGUGUACGGACAAUUUAUCUCAGAUGUUACUAGACCUUGAAAAUGCUCUUGUGGAGAAGAAGAUGCCAAAAGAGAAUUGGCUCUAAUUUAAUAGAUUAUACAAGGUUGGUAUCGGCUUAGAUUGAUGUAAUUUGUCAUUGGGGUAUCAAAUCCCAGAUGAAUUGGUAUGAAUGUUGAUUACAAUAGUCUAAAUGUUUCUAUAACUACCGCAUAAUUGCCAUGUGCAAUGGUGCUAAGCUUGUUAUCUUGUUUGAGAAUCGAGAUUAGUGAAGGCAUAUUCUAAUGGUAUUUGAAAAGUAAGGCCUCCAAAUACAUGUAUUUGCCUUUGUUAUAUGUGCAAUCUACCAUCCCUUCC
RNAcentral lists this long non-coding RNA (984 nucleotides) under Malus domestica (apple). RNAcentral's name for it is "long non-coding RNA (MDOM_LNC001073)". The record is from RNAcentral. Lineage: Eukaryota; Viridiplantae; Streptophyta; Magnoliopsida; Rosales; Rosaceae.